RNAcentral lists this ribosomal RNA (472 nucleotides) under uncultured bacterium. RNAcentral's name for it is "bacterial SSU rRNA". It matches the Rfam family "Bacterial small subunit ribosomal RNA", at positions 29 to 521 of the family's 1533-position model. The record is from RNAcentral.
AGCGAACGCUAGCGGCGGGCUUAACACAUGCAAGUCGAGCGCGUGGCUUCGGCCACGAGCGGCGAACGGGUGAGUAACACGUAGGUCAUCUGCCCUUUGGUGGGGAAUAACCCGAGGAAACUCGGGCUAAUACCGCAUACGGCCUUCGGGUCAAAGGCUUCGGCCGCCAGAGGAUGAGCCUGCGUCGCAUUACCUAGUUGGUGGGGUAAUGGCCCACCAAGGGGACGAUGCGUAGCUGGUCUGAGAGGAUGAUCCCCCACACUGGUACUGAGACACGGACCAGACUCCUACGGGAGGCAGCAGUAGGGAAUAUUGGGCAAUGGACGAAAGUCUGACCCAGCCACGCCGCGUGAAGGAUGAAUGCCCUCUGGGUUGUAAACUUCUUUUGUAUGGGAAGAAAAUUCCGAACGUGUUCGGAGCUGACGGUACCAUAAGAAUAAGCAUCGGCUAACUCCGUGCCAGCAGCCGCGGU